This 492-nucleotide ribosomal RNA is filed under the name uncultured bacterium. Its description in RNAcentral is "partial 16S ribosomal RNA". It matches the Rfam family "Bacterial small subunit ribosomal RNA", at positions 29 to 507 of the family's 1533-position model. The record is from RNAcentral.
AGUGAACGCUGGCGGUAGGCCUAACACAUGCAAGUCGAACGGCAGCACAGUAAGAGCUUGCUCUUACGGGUGGCGAGUGGCGGACGGGUGAGGAAUACAUCGGAAUCUACUUUUUCGUGGGGGAUAACGUAGGUAAACUUACGCUCAUACCGCAUACGACCUACGGGUGAAAGCAGUGGAUCUUCGGACCUUGCGCGAAUGAAUGAGCCGAUGUCGGAUUAGCUAGUUGGCGGGGUAAAGGCCCACCAAGGCGACGAUCCGUAGCUGGUCUGAGAGGAUGGUCGGCCACACGGGAACUGGAACACGGUCCAGACUCCUACGGGAGGCAGCAGUGGGGAAUAUUGGACAAUGGGGGCAAGCAUGAUCCAGCCAUACCGCGUGGGUGAAGAAGGCGUUCGGGUUGUAAAGCCCUUUUGUUGGGAAAGAAAAGCAGCAGGUUAAUACCCCGCUGUUCUGACGGUACCCAAAGAAUAAGCACCGGCUAACUUCGUG